This 253-nucleotide ribosomal RNA is filed under the name uncultured bacterium. RNAcentral's name for it is "partial 16S ribosomal RNA". It matches the Rfam family "Bacterial small subunit ribosomal RNA", at positions 524 to 776 of the family's 1533-position model. The record is from RNAcentral.
UACAGAGGGGGCAAGCGUUGUUCGGAAUUACUGGGCGUAAAGGGCGCGUAGGCGGCCGCCUAAGUCAGACGUGAGAUCCCUCGGCUCAACCGGGGAACUGCGUCUGAUACUGGGUGGCUUGAAUCCGGGAGAGGGAUGCGGAAUUCCAGGUGUAGCGGUGAAAUGCGUAGAUAUCUGGAGGAACACCGGUGGCGAAGGCGGCAUCCUGGACCGGUAUUGACGCUGAGGCGCGAAAGCCAGGGGAGCAAACGGG